This 688-nucleotide long non-coding RNA is filed under the name Mus pahari (shrew mouse). RNAcentral's name for it is "lncRNA (MGP_PahariEiJ_G0003746.1)". Lineage: Eukaryota; Metazoa; Chordata; Mammalia; Rodentia; Muridae. The record is from RNAcentral.
AGGCACUGCAGACACAGCUGCUGCGGAAGGAGACAGCCAAAGCUUCCAAGGAAAGAAAUGGCCAAGAUUUGAGAGAAACCUGGCAGCGUCCCCAAGCCUGGCACCGGAUCGCCUCAGACGCACUCGGCUGCUCCGGAGGCGGAGCGCGAGGCACCGGACCCGGCGGGCGGAGCCAGGCCAGCGGGGCGCAGCGCAGCGCCUUCCGCCAGGGCGUCUGGCGCCACCUACCGGCGACCAGGCAAGCGAAACUUUCCACUGAGCAGCAGUUGCUGUGACCACCUGGGCAUCAAAUGGCAAUUAAUUGGAACAGACUUGAUAAAUGAACUGUGGAUGAGAGCGCCGUGUUCAUGACCAGGCGCUUUCCCACCCACCUGCUUAUGCUGCCACAGUGAACACAAAUUUACAUACCUGGAAGAAACAAGACUUUCUGAAGCAUUCGCAAUAAAUGCAAUAAAUGCAGGAAAUCUGUCUGUCGUGGCUAAAACACCCCCACUGCUUCGUUUGGCAUCGUUCUUGUUCAUAUUCAAAGCAUUGGCAGUGUUUCUCCUGACUAGUUUGUGGCAAUUAUCACACUGGUGGUAACUGAAAUGGCUUUUCUAAAUCUAGAACCCGGGUUCCGUGAAAUAGCGAAGAAGAAUUCCCCCUUUAAGGAAUAGGAAUGUUUUUGCAAUAAAACAAAACGGACACC